RNAcentral lists this ribosomal RNA (484 nucleotides) under uncultured bacterium. Its description in RNAcentral is "partial 16S ribosomal RNA". It matches the Rfam family "Bacterial small subunit ribosomal RNA", at positions 30 to 507 of the family's 1533-position model. The record is from RNAcentral.
AUUGAACGCUGGCGGCAGGCCUAACACAUGCAAGUCGAGCGGAUGAAGGAAGCUUGCUCCUGGAUUCAGCGGCGGACGGGUGAGUAAUGCCUAGGAAUCUGCCUGGUAGUGGGGGAAAACGUCCGGAAACGGGCGCUAAUACCGCAUACGUCCUGAGGGAGAAAGUGGGGGAUCUUCGGACCUCACGCUAUCAGAUGAGCCUAGGUCGGAUUAGCUAGUUGGUGGGGUAAAGGCCUACCAAGGCGACGAUCCGUAACUGGUCUGAGAGGAUGAUCAGUCACACUGGAACUGAGACACGGUCCAGACGCCUACGGGAGGCAGCAGUGGGGAAUAUUGGACAAUGGGCGAAAGCCUGAUCCAGCCAUGCCGCGUGUGUGAAGAAGGUCUUCGGAUUGUAAAGCACUUUAAGUUGGGAGGAAGGGCAGUAAGUUAAUACCUUGCUGUUUUGACGUUACCAACAGAAUAAGCACCGGCUAACUUCGUG